UAAAAGAGUGCGUAAUAGCUCACUAGUCGAGAGAUCUUGCGCCGAAAAUGUAACGGGGCUAAACUUACCACCGAAGCUACGGGCUUGAACUUAGUUCAAGCGGUAGGAGAGCGUCGUAACCGGGCUGAAGUCGUACCGUAAGGAGCGGUGGACUGGUUACGAGUGAGAAUGUUGGCAUCAGUAGCGAGAUGUGGGUGAGAAUCCCACAGGCCGAAAACCUAAGGUUUCCUCAGGAAGGUUCGUCCGCUGAGGGUUAGUCGGGACCUAAGCCGAGGCCGAAAGGCGUAGGUGAUGGACAACUGGUUGAUAUUCCAGUACCACUACCAUCGUUAUUAUCGAUGGCGUGACGCAGGAGGAUAGUGUGUGCUAGCUAUUGGAUGCUAGUCUAAGCGUUUAGGCAGUGAGAGUAGGCAAAUCCGCUCUCAUAAUGCUGAGGCGUGAUGGGGAAGGUUCUACGGAACCGAAGUACAUGAUUCCACGCUGCCAAGAAAAGCGUCUAGAGAGAGAAGUAGUGCCCGUACCGCAAACCGACACAGGUAGGUGAGGAGAGAAUCCUAAGGCCGGCGGAAGAAUUACAGUUAAGGAACUCGGCAAAUUGACCCCGUAAGUUCGCGAGAAGGGGUGCCUACGAGAGUAGGCCGCAGAGAAUAGGCCCAAGCAACUGUUUAGCAAAAACACAGGUCUCUGCUAAAGCGUAAGCUGAUGUAUAGGGGCUGACGCCUGCCCGGUGCUGGAAGGUUAAGGGGAGAGGUUAGCGCAAGCGAAGCUUUGAACUUAAGCCCCAGUAAACGGCGGCCGUAACUAUAACGGUCCUAAGGUAGCGAAAUUCCUUGUCGGGUAAGUUCCGACCCGCACGAAAGGCGUAAUGAUUUGGGCACUGUCUCAACAAUGCACCCGGUGAAAUUGAAAUACCAGUGAAGAUGCUGGUUACCUGCGCCAGGACGGAAAGACCCCAUGGAGCUUUACUCCAGCUUGAUACUGGGAUUCGGUAUUGCAUGUACAGGAUAGGUGGGAGGCUAAGAAGUGGUAACGCCAGUUGCCAUGGAGCCGCUGUUGGGAUACCACCCUUGCAGUACUGGGUUUCUAACCAGCAGCCGUGAUCCGGCUGGGGGACAAUGUCAGGUGGGGAGUUUGACUGGGGCGGUCGCCUCCGAAAGGGUAUCGGAGGCGCUCAAAGGUUCCCUCAGAAUGGUUGGAAACCAUUCGAAGAGUGCAAAGGCAGAAGGGAGCUUGACUGCGACACCGACGGGUGGAGCAGGUACGAAAGUAGGACUUAGUGAUCCGGUGGUAUAAAGUGGGAUUGCCAUCGCUCAACGGAUAAAAGCUACCCUGGGGAUAACAGGCUUAUCACUCCCAAGAGUUCACAUCGACGGAGUGGUUUGGCACCUCGAUGUCGGCUCAUCACAUCCUGGGGCUGAAGUAGGUCC
This 1427-nucleotide ribosomal RNA is filed under the name human gut metagenome. Its description in RNAcentral is "bacterial LSU rRNA". It matches the Rfam family "Bacterial large subunit ribosomal RNA", at positions 1123 to 2565 of the family's 2925-position model. The record is from RNAcentral.